This is a long non-coding RNA of Cucumis melo (muskmelon), 4190 nucleotides long. RefSeq lists it as uncharacterized. The record is from RefSeq and is a predicted model, not a curated record. Lineage: Eukaryota; Viridiplantae; Streptophyta; Magnoliopsida; Cucurbitales; Cucurbitaceae. The transcript is spliced from 2 exons.
GUGAAUUGGAGUUUUUUUUUUUUUUAUUAAAGUGCACCCUCUCAUUACUGCUCCAUCACCAUUUACUUCCUCUUCUUCUUCCUCUGCUAGGGCACAACAACAACAUUGCAGCAUCCCAAAUUUUGUGCUCCUUCCUCUUCUUCUUCUGAACCUUCUCCCUUGUUGAUUCAAGCUCUCCCUCGCCGGUUUUCCUCUCUAAAAAUUGUCAGCAACAAAGGAGGGAUGGAUGUUUUGGUUGGUUUUGUUACUCUUUUCUCUCCUUUUAGUUUUUUUUGUGUGAAGAGGAGAACACAACGCCCUUUCCUCUCUUUCUCUCUCUAUCUCUCUCUAAAAAACCCACUUACACAACCCAUUCUCUUCACCCAUCCACCCAUUUUCUUCACCCAUCUACCCAUCACCCGAUAUUCACAACCGUGGCCCCACCCCUCGAACGUCAAACGGAUCCUAAGGCGACUCAGAUUGAGGUUGUGAAGCAGAUCAAUUUGGGGUCAUGUGAUCCUGAUAACACUUCAGUUGAAGUUAUUGCCUUCAGAUAUUGGGUAAGUCUGCUGAUUUCUUAUGAAAAUCUUCAAGGGUUCAUAAACUUAUUUCUCUAAAAAACUAAUAAAAUUGGUCACUUUAUCCCACAAGUAAGUUCUAAUUGUUAAGGAUGGUAGUGAAGAUUCUUGUGGUUGUUCACAACUUGAUCCAUACAAUUUCAUCAAGAACAGACGGAGAUUUUUUAUUAAGUGUUUCAAAAUUUAAUUUUCUCCAAUUUUUAAAUCCUCGAUCCUCGAAUUUCAUGAAAUUUAGAAUGUUCGAGUUCGAUUCUCUUUAGCUAGCAUGUUUAUCUAACUUUCAAUUGGUAUUGGAAUAUUCUUAGAACACAUAAUUUCAUUUGGUGCGGGGUGAUUUUUUGGUUGAAUGUUCUUGAAUAUGUAAAUUGGAACCCACUGUUUUUGGCAAAUUUUCAAAGCAAUUUUAGUUGUUUAAAGCUGUAGUUUCUAAGUUGUAAUUGUUCUCUUAUAUGUAAUAAAGCUUAUGUAAAAGUUUGGAAGUCAAUUGUGUUGUAAAUGGGAAGUUUCUGAAGGUCAAAGUUGCCAUGGUGGUGUUGUCGAAAAUAGAGGACAAAACUGGGCUGUACAUUGUUCUUCACGGCUUUUUCAUCUAUCAACUUUAGUUUUUGAGUCAAUCAAUAAUUUAACAAAUUGUUUGUUUGAUUGAUUAAUCCAAGAUGUACGAAUCCUCUAUAUAUCAAGGGAACAUUGUGGAUGACAUUAAAAGCAGAUAGUGUAUGUGUAAAUAGUGUCUUUUCUUUGACCCGUGUGGCAAAGGGUCUGUUGCAAUCUAUGAAAUUUUAUUCCUUUUGCAGUUUCAAUUUAUAGUAUAUUGUACUAUAUUCACGUACAAUUUCAUCAUGUUGUAUGUACCUUUCCAUAGGAUGGCCGUGUUUCCUUUAUUGGUUUGGGAGGAAGUGUUGAGAGAUAAAGUGCGUAAGUAUAACUAUUGAUGAACAACCAAUAGAGUUAUGAAUUCAAAUUCAAACUGUGUGGAGUGUUUUAGAAAUCAGGGAUAGGGUUUCCUUCCUAUAUUUGAGGUAAAUUUCUCUCAAUUCCAAUUUUGUUCCCUUCCUGUAUGAUCAUAAUAUGUUAAAACUUGCUUUAUUGCUAUAACUUAUAGGCUUGUUUUAUUUUUUCAUUAUUGUUAUAAGCUUUUUCAUCAAUCAUUGGUAACCUGUUCUUUUUAAGUCUUUUAUUUUAUUUUCUAGAUAAUUCUUUAUUGUCAAUCACAAUUAUAUCUUGUCCAGUUAUGUUGAAGCUAUUUAAGUUUUCCCUUAUGCUGACCAUAUCUUUGGAAAUCUAAUAUUAAAAGGCCAAUGGUAAUUGUUAGACCAAGUCUUGGUGCUGUUGUUGCUAUUCAUUUUGUUGUCAAUUAUCCAGAAGUUGUAUGUAUCUACCAGCUGGAAUUUAUGACUACAAAUUUAAAGUUAUAUCCUUAUGUAAAAUCAUUCCAAAGAGCCUUCCAUCGAAUAUAACGAGAUUAUUUCAGGUUGAUAGGCUUGUGUUGAUUGAUGCAAGUGUAUAUGCAAAAGGUACAGGAAACUUAGCUACCUUACCAAGAUUGAUUGCCUAUGCUGGGGUGAGACUUUGCUUACUUCUGUGAACAUUACAUCAAGUGUGCCAAUUAUUCCUAACACUUUUGAUGAGAGAUUGAUUUUAUGCAAUUACUAUUUACAAAACUACAAAAUUUACUUCAUUCGUACAUCCUUUCCUAUCCAUUUUACCAUACCAUUAUGGCAUCACUACAUGUUUUCAUGAUAAUUCUUCCGUUAAAAUCUUCUGAAAAAGAAUUGUCCUUCUAAUUUUUUAUCUAUAAAUUUAAUGUUGAGUAUUUCAUUCCUCGAUUUAACUCAAAAUGCUAUUAACUCAAUUGGAUUCAAAAGGAAAUCUUUGGGUAAAUAAUUAUUCAACAUUUCAUCUAAUAUGUGUUAUGAGCCCUUAUUGAAUGAUUUCAACUAUUAUAUUUUUGAAGUGUCUUGUUAUUCGUGCCACAAUUUUUGCUUGUGUAAUCUUUGAUUUUGUUCCUUUUUUUUAAUUCAUUUGUUUAAUACAAGUGUGUAAGAAAUAAGGUUGGAGAUUCAAAAGGGAAGUAGAGGACUUAAAAGAUGAGUGGAGUACAAAGAAAUAAGGUAGGAUUUAUACCCGUCUUUGAUUUUUGUCAUCUUUUUGUUGAUUUAUGUAUUGUUUUUCUUGUCAAUUUAGGAUUAAUUCCUCAUAUUACAUUAGUUUUUAAUAUGGAUAAGGCCUUAUCUUCUUAUGGGGUGAAUUGUUGAGAUUUAAUAUUGGUUUCUAUUUUCAUCUCUAUUGGCUAUACAUGCUCGUAAUUAUGCAAAGCCCAUUUAUUUGCCUAUGGAGGUUUGUUCUUGUUCUCAUAGAGUUAAUAUUGGUUUCUAUUGUAGUUCAACACUCUCAACGUGAAGUUGUGAAUUUUCUUUAAUAUUUAUUAUAUGCUAUUGUAGUUCAAAACUCUCGAUUAUAGAUUACAGCAGAUUGAUAGUGUUGAUUUAAAGUGUGUAACUUAUGUGUUUUUAUUAUGUCUUGCACGAAUCUGAUCUACUAUAGUGGUGAAGCUACCAAGUAAGUGAAGUUACAAAGUUUGUGAGUGAAAAAUGAUAUACUUAAAAAUUUAUUACUAUAUAUUUCUUUUUCUAUUAUAUCUGGAUGUUUUCAUGCUCAUUUCUCUUUAUCCAGAAGGUAGAUAACCAUAUGACUUUUUGUGUGGUCUGCUAACUUACGUGAUAUCAGGGUUUCACCUAAGAUGGAAUUUUCUAGGCCAAUCUUAUGGCAGAUAGCAUGGUUCUUUUGUCUCUUCUCAUUUGAAUUUGGAAUAUCCUUGUGCGUGGGAGAGAAUAUGGUUCGACAUAUUACGCACCUUUGGUUGAAAAAUUACAUAUUCGGGUAGACGUUGGAAUAGCAAAUCAGGUUGUGAAUACACAUAUUUGUAGGCUGGACAACAACCUUUUACCAAGCAAUAGCAAACCAAACUGUCAAAUCCUAGGAUAGUUUAUUGUUAGGAAUUAAAGACAUCUAUAGGAAACAUAGACACUUAAGUUUUGUUAAGGUGCCCAUAAUUGAUGUCAUGAGGUAUUUUGUGGGUUUUGUUGGGUGUUAAAAGCCAUAAAUGUGUGGUAAAAUGCUUGUAGAGCUCUUUGCUAGAAUAGUUUAUUAGUAGGAAUUAAAGACAUCUAAGUUGUUUUUGUGUUAUAGAUUUAUUAAGAUGAAAAUGAUGUUAUUUUUUACUAAGCUGGUAAAUGUGGCAAGUGUUAUCUAAAAUUAGGUACAAUGGAGUGGUAAGUGGAUUUCUAAUUUGAUAUUCUAUUUUGUAGUAGAAGGCGUGGUACCGAUAGUGAUGCUGAGUCGUUAAAACCUCAUUAACAAGACCAUUUCAGAACUUGAAUCCGAACUAAGCCGUCUUGGAAGGCCUGUUGCAAAUGAUGCUAGGGUUUUGCCAUAAUCCAUUGGAGCAGCGAAGCCAUAUUUGCAGCAAUUCAUUGAUGUAUAGGCAUUUUUGUAGGUUUGGUAGGAAAAUUUCUAGUUUAAAUAUAGUUAUUUAAAUAGCUUGUUCGUAACAAACCAUAUAUGUACCAACACUUAAAACAAUACUAUAAAAUGUAUGUUUCUUUAUAUUAAAGCGUUCACCGUUUCUUUCCA